GGCCGAUCCUCACUUCUUGGUCAGCUGCUCUAGAAGAGGGAGCACUGUGGUGAGCUCCCACCAAGGAGCACCCAUAGGCAAUCCUGCCUUUCUUCUGCCUGAAUGGUAAAUGCCAGUCUGUUGACUCUGCAGGGCCCGCCUUCUGCAGUUAUUUUGGCUUCUGAUGAACUGAUUUGACCACCCAAGGGAGCUAAGGAAAGAGAUACCAGGGAUAAUGCUUGUGGACCCACCAAAGUACAAAAGAAGCUGUAUCACUGAGAUGUUGAAAUGCAGGCUUCAGAGGAGCCUUCAAGGACAUGAAGGUAGAGGAAGCAGUGAAGAUUGGCAGGAUCCUCCCAGAAGUGAAAGCCUCACCUUCGGUGUAGAAGGAUAAGGCCACAGCCUGGUGGGCCAGGUGGACCGAGCAAGAAGAGGUCCAGAGCUCAGCUGCUAUGGACAUCCUCACGGUUGCACCCAGGGCCACCCCAGCCCCUGGCAUAUGGGGCUGACAAAGGAGAGACAAAGUCACGCCAGCAUACUGAGCACUUCAACAAAGGAGAGAUUGCCUCAUUCCUAGUCCCUAGGCUCCAGCCCCUCCACUCCCACACUCCCUCCCUGCUUCUCUACAUCUCACUAUGGAUAACAUUCUCCACGGCAAACACCAAUCAUAUAUCCCACCAAAAUGUUCUAGAAACUCCUGAGUUGUGCAAUAUCUAAAUCACUGGCUCCAAGCUCUGUCUCCCACCCAUUAAAACACGAGAAUUAUCCUGCCUUGG
RNAcentral lists this long non-coding RNA (755 nucleotides) under Equus caballus (horse). RNAcentral describes it as "lncRNA (ENSECAG00000043102.2)". The record is from RNAcentral. Lineage: Eukaryota; Metazoa; Chordata; Mammalia; Perissodactyla; Equidae.